Molecule: ribosomal RNA, 253 nt
Filed under: uncultured prokaryote
Description: partial 16S ribosomal RNA
Rfam family: Bacterial small subunit ribosomal RNA
Source: RNAcentral
ACGUAGGGGGCAAGCGUUGUCCGGAAUCAUUGGGCGUAAAGAGCGUGUAGGCGGCUCGGUAAGUCCGCUGUGAAAGUCCAGGGCUCAACCCUGGAAUGCCGGUGGAAACUGUCGAGCUAGAGUCCGGAAGAGGCGAGUGGAAUUCCUGGUGUAGCGGUGAAAUGCGCAGAUAUCAGGAGGAACACCAAUGGCGAAGGCAGCUCGCUGGGACGGUACUGACGCUAAGGCGCGAAAGCGUGGGGAGCGAACAGGA